This 154-nucleotide ribosomal RNA is filed under the name bacterium SM4.900-O.106. RNAcentral's name for it is "partial 16S ribosomal RNA". It matches the Rfam family "Bacterial small subunit ribosomal RNA", at positions 338 to 490 of the family's 1533-position model. The record is from RNAcentral.
CCUACGGGAGGCAGCAGUGAGGAAUAUUGGGCAAUGGGCGCAAGCCUGAUCCAGCCAUGCCGCGUGCAGGAUGACGGUCCUAUGGAUUGUAAACUGCUUUUGCACAGGAAGAAACAACGCUACGUCUAGCGUCUGACGUUACCGAGAUAGGAUC